This 465-nucleotide ribosomal RNA is filed under the name uncultured bacterium. Its description in RNAcentral is "bacterial SSU rRNA". It matches the Rfam family "Bacterial small subunit ribosomal RNA", at positions 338 to 795 of the family's 1533-position model. The record is from RNAcentral.
CCUACGGGGGGCAGCAGUGGGGAAUUUUGGACAAUGGGCGAAAGCCUGAUCCAGCAAUGCCGCGUGCAGGACGAAGGCCUUCGGGUUGUAAACUGCUUUUGUACGGAACGAAAAAGCUCUUUCUAAUAAAGAGAGCUCAUGACGGUACCGUAAGAAUAAGCACCGGCUAACUACGUGCCAGCAGCCGCGGUAAUACGUAGGGUGCAAGCGUUAAUCGGAAUUACUGGGCGUAAAGCGUGCGCAGGCGGUUAUAUAAGACAGAUGUGAAAUCCCCGGGCUCAACCUGGGACCUGCAUUUGUGACUGUAUAGCUAGAGUACGGUAGAGGGGGAUGGAAUUCCGCGUGUAGCAGUGAAAUGCGUAGAUAUGCGGAGGAACACCGAUGGCGAAGGCAAUCCCCUGGACCUGUACUGACGCUCAUGCACGAAAGCGUGGGGAGCAAACAGGAUUAGAUACCCGAGUAGUC